UUCGGAUGCUGACGAGUGGCGAACGGGUGAGUAAUACAUCGGAACGUGCCUAGUAGUGGGGGAUAACUACUCGAAAGAGUAGCUAAUACCGCAUGAGAUCUACGGAUGAAAGCAGGGGAUCGCAAGACCUUGUGCUACUAGAGCGGCUGAUGGCAGAUUAGGUAGUUGGUGGGAUAAAAGCUUACCAAGCCGACGAUCUGUAGCUGGUCUGAGAGGACGAUCAGCCACACUGGGACUGAGACACGGCCCAGACUCCUACGGGAGGCAGCAGUGGGGAAUUUUGGACAAUGGGCGAAAGCCUGAUCCAGCAAUGCCGCGUGCAGGAUGAAGGCCUUCGGGUUGUAAACUGCUUUUGUACGGAACGAAAAGCUUUGGGUUAAUACCCUGGAGUCAUGACGGUACCGUAAGAAUAAGCACCGGCUAACUACGUGCCAGCAGCCGCGGUAAUACGUAGGGUGCAAGCGUUAAUCGGAAUUACUGGGCGUAAAGCGUGCGCAGGCGGUUUUGUAAGACAGAGGUGAAAUCCCCGGGCUCAACCUGGGAACUGCCUUUGUGACUGCAAGGCUAGAGUACGGCAGAGGGGGGUGGAAUUCCGCGUGUAGCAGUGAAAUGCGUAGAUAUGCGGAGGAACACCGAUGGCGAAGGCAACCCCCUGGGCCUGUACUGACGCUCAUGCACGA
Molecule: ribosomal RNA, 680 nt
Filed under: Comamonas sp.
Lineage: Bacteria; Pseudomonadati; Pseudomonadota; Betaproteobacteria; Burkholderiales; Comamonadaceae
Description: bacterial SSU rRNA
Rfam family: Bacterial small subunit ribosomal RNA
Source: RNAcentral